AAUAGAUACCCAGGUAGUCCACGCCGUAAACGAUGAGUGCUAAGUGUUAGAGGGUUUCCGCCCUUUAGUGCUGCAGCUAACGCAUUAAGCACUCCGCCUGGGGAGUACGGUCGCAAGACUGAAACUCAAAGGAAUUGACGGGGGGCCCGCACAAGCGGUGGAGCAUGUGGUUUAAUUCGAAGCAACGCGAAGAACCUUACCAGGUCUUGACAUCCCACUGACCGGUAUAGAGAUAUACCUUUCCCUUCGGGGACAGUGGUGACAGGUGGUGCAUGGUUGUCGUCAGCUCGUGUCGUGAGAUGUUGGGUUAAGUCCCGCAACGAGCGCAACCCUUGAUCUUAGUUGCCAGCAUUUAGUUGGGCACUCUAAGGUGACUGCCGGUGACAAACCGGGAGGAAGGUGGGGAUGACGGUCAAAUCAUCAUGCCCCUUAUGACCUGGGCUACACACGUGCUACAAUGGAUGGUACAAAGGGGCUGCGAGACUGCGAAGUCAAGCCAAUCCCAUAAAACCAUUCUCAGUUCGGACUGCAGG
This 533-nucleotide ribosomal RNA is filed under the name uncultured bacterium. RNAcentral's name for it is "bacterial SSU rRNA". It matches the Rfam family "Bacterial small subunit ribosomal RNA", at positions 777 to 1304 of the family's 1533-position model. The record is from RNAcentral.